UACGGAGGGUGCAAGCGUUAUCCGGAUUCACUGGGUUUAAAGGGUGCGUAGGUGGGCUGGUAAGUCAGUGGUGAAAUCUCCAGGCUUAACUUGGAAACUGCCAUUGAUACUAUUAGUCUUGAAUACCGUGGAGGUCAGCGGAAUAUGUCAUGAAGCGGUGAAAUGCUUAGAUAUGACAUAGAACACCAAUUGCGAAGGCAGCUGGCUACACGAAUAUUGACACUGAUGCACGAAAGCGUGGGGAUCAAACAGG
Molecule: ribosomal RNA, 253 nt
Filed under: uncultured bacterium
Lineage: Bacteria
Description: partial 16S ribosomal RNA
Rfam family: Bacterial small subunit ribosomal RNA
Source: RNAcentral